AUGCUAUUUACUCUCGACCUCGCCUCGCUGGACAGCGUCCGACAGUUCGUCGACGCGUUCCGCCGUGCCGACAUGCCGCUGGACGUGCUCGUGUGCAACGCCGCCAUCUACCGCCCCACGGCGCGCACGCCGACAUUCACCGCCGACGGGCACGAGAUGAGCGUGGGCGUGAACCACCUCAGCCACUUCCUGCUCGCCCGCCUCCUCAUGGAGGACCUUCAGAAGUCCGACUACCCGUCCCGCCGCAUGGUCAUCGUCGGCUCCAUCACCGGCAACGGCAACACGCAGGCGGGCAACGUGCCGCCCAAGGCCAGCCUCGGUGACCUCCGCGGGCUCGCCGGCGGCCUCAGCGGUGCCAAGGUGUGCAACAUGCUGACCAUGCAGGAGUUCCACCAGCGGUACCACAAGGAGACCGGCAUCACCUUCUCCUCGCUCUACCCCGGCUGCAUCGCCACCACGGGGCUGUUCCGGGAGCACAUCCCGCUGUUCCGCACGCUCUUCCCGCCGUUCCAGAAGUUCAUCACGAUGAGGUUCGUCUGGGAGGCGGAGUCCGGCAAGAGGCUGGCGCAGGUGGUGGCGGAGCCCAGCCUGACCAAGUCCGGCGUGUACUGGAGCUGGAACAAGGACUCGGCAUCCUUCGAGAACCAGCUCUCCCAGGAGGCCAGCGACCCCGAGAAGGCCCGCAAGGUCUGGGAGCUCAGCGAGAAGCUCGUCGGACUCGCCUGA
Molecule: ribosomal RNA, 726 nt
Filed under: Triticum aestivum (bread wheat)
Lineage: Eukaryota; Viridiplantae; Streptophyta; Magnoliopsida; Poales; Poaceae
Description: partial small subunit ribosomal RNA
Source: RNAcentral